UAUCACCGAAUUCGAGAUGACACCCAAUGAAGCGAACCAUUGAACAACCCCGCCGUUACCUCCCAUUACACUCAUAAACAAAUACAAUAUUUAGUUAUCAUGCUAGUGCUGGAAGUCAUACUGAAGUGAGACAAUGCCAUCUCACCAGGUUAAUCACCAGACUACCACAAUCGGUGGCAUUUUGCUGCAACACCAGUCAUUAUAUAUGUUGCUGUUUAGUAAUGGUGUGGUGCUAUUCUGAUGCAACAAUGAAUAAG
Molecule: unclassified non-coding RNA, 257 nt
Filed under: Hevea brasiliensis (rubber tree)
Lineage: Eukaryota; Viridiplantae; Streptophyta; Magnoliopsida; Malpighiales; Euphorbiaceae
Source: RNAcentral